GACGAACGCUGGCGGCGCGCUUUAUACAUGCAAGUCGAACGUGAAGCUCGGAGCUUGCUCCGGGUGGAAAGUGGCGAACGGGUGAGUAUCACGUGAGAAACCUGCCCCGAAGACCGGGAUAACACCGGGAAACCGGUGCUAAUACCGGAUGCCCUCACCGGAUCGCAUGGUCUGGUGAGGAAAUGGAUUCCGCUUCGGGAUGGUCUCGCGGCCUAUCAGCUUGUUGGUGGGGUAAUGGCCCACCAAGGCUUCGACGGGUAGCUGGUCUGAGAGGAUGUCCAGCCACACUGGGACUGAGACACGGCCCAGACUCCUACGGGAGGCAGCAGUAGGGAAUCUUGCACAAUGGACGAAAGUCUGAUGCAGCGACGCCGCGUGUGGGAUGACUGCCCUCGGGUUGUAAACCACUUUCAGCAGGGACGAAAUUGACGGUACCUGCAGAAGAAGCCCCGGCAACUACGUGCCAG
RNAcentral lists this ribosomal RNA (467 nucleotides) under uncultured bacterium. RNAcentral describes it as "bacterial SSU rRNA". It matches the Rfam family "Bacterial small subunit ribosomal RNA", at positions 28 to 511 of the family's 1533-position model. The record is from RNAcentral.